GAAUUUUAUGCGCGAGUUAUGUAUGUUCCCUGUGUGAGAACUGAACCCAACAGAAAGGGGAUAAGGAGCAAGAGCGAGCAACGAAGGAAGAGAGAAAGAAACAAACAUGGCUUCUACUUCCAUUAACACUUUCACUGGUUUUGUUGGAUGGAAAUCUUCUUCUUUGUUUCCACAUUCUAAUGCCUUAAACGCUACACUCUCACUCCCUUUCAACCCAAAACGGCACUUCUCCGUUACUUGCUCCGCCUCUUCUUCCGAUCCUCUGCUGGUGAAGGCUGCCAGAGGAGAACCUGUUAGUCGGCCACCAGCAUGGAUGAUGCGCCAGGCGGGAAGGUACAUGGCUGUUUACAGAAAGCUUGCUGAGAAAUAUCCAUCCUUUCGAGAGAGGUCGGAGACAACUGAUCUCAUUGUGGAAAUUUCUUUGCAGCCUUGGAAUGCCUUUAGGCCUGAUGGAGUGAUCAUUUUCUCUGACAUCCUUACGCCUCUUCCUGCAUUUGGGGUCGAAUUCGACAUUGAAGAUGUAAGGGGUCCUGUUAUUCAGUCCCCAAUACGCUCCGAGGAGGGAUUAAAGGCUCUGCAUCCAAUUGACCUGGAAAAGCUCAGUUUUGUUGGAGAUUCACUCAAGAUACUGCGCAGGGAGGUUGGUGGUGAUGCUGCCGUUUUAGGUUUCGUGGGAGCACCUUGGACAAUAGCAACAUAUAUAGUGGAAGGGGGUACGACACGCACCUAUACAACCAUUAAGAGUAUGUGCCAUACAGCGCCACAUUUAUUGCGGACUCUACUCUCUCAUUUGGCGCAAGCAAUAGCAGAUUAUGUUGUUUUCCAAGUGGAGUCUGGGGCUCACUGCAUACAAAUAUUUGAUUCAUGGGGUGGACAACUACCACCUGAUAUGUGGGAACGCUGGUCAAAGCCUUAUAUCAAAGAGAUUGUAGAUUUGGUCAAGAAAAGAUGCCCCGAGACACCGAUUGUUCUUUAUAUAAAUGGAAAUGGUGGCCUCCUUGAGCGUAUGAAAGAUACUGGAGUUGAUGUUAUUGGCCUGGACUGGACUGUGGAUAUGGCAGAUGGAAGAAGAAGAUUGGGUAGUGGAAUAGGUGUGCAGGGAAAUGUGGACCCUGCCUACUUAUUCUCCCCACUUCCUGCCCUCGCUGAAGAAAUUCAGAGGUUGGCAAUUUAAUAUCUUUUUAACUCUUGACAUUCUUCAUUCUCGAUAGUCAUAUUCUUUACCUGUUCAGCCUGCAUUUCCCCCAUGUUCAUGAUUCAGAUCCAGUGCGAUUGUCAAGGGUUGUGAGGUGUGCCGGGCCUAGACGGCACAUCCUUAAUCUCGGGCAUGGUGUUCUUGUUGGCACACCUGAAGAAGCUGUUGCACAUUUCUUUGAAGUUGCUAGGAGCUUGAAGUUUGAUACACUUUUUCAAAACAAAUCUGCAGAAGAUCCUAGAUUGGUAGCUUAAGGACAAAUGCCACAUUACCUAUGCCAUGUGUAUUGCUUUGGUCUUUGGUGAGUGUAGAAUAGAGCAGGCUAGUCCCUCCUCAUUCUUCUGUAACUUUGUGAUGAUUAGAGGUUGAGGAUUUGCACAUUGAAGUGCCGGCUAACUGAUCAAACUAGAUGCAUUUUCAUUUUGUAUUCUUCUGUAUUUAUUGUGGAAUAUGAUAAUCCAAUGAGGUUCACUUCCAAAUAGUUUGUAU
Arachis ipaensis is the source of this 1684-nucleotide non-coding RNA. The record is from RefSeq and is a predicted model, not a curated record. NCBI's taxonomy places the organism in Eukaryota, Viridiplantae, Streptophyta, Magnoliopsida, Fabales, Fabaceae.